This 58-nucleotide microRNA precursor is filed under the name Pteropus alecto (black flying fox). RNAcentral describes it as "microRNA pal-mir-504 precursor". Its record names the gene pal-mir-504. It matches the Rfam family "mir-504 microRNA precursor family", at positions 11 to 67 of the family's 78-position model. The record is from miRBase by way of RNAcentral. Lineage: Eukaryota; Metazoa; Chordata; Mammalia; Chiroptera; Pteropodidae.
AGACCCUGGUCUGCACUCUAUCUGUAUGCUGACUAAAGGGAGUGCAGGGCAGGGUUUC